Molecule: ribosomal RNA, 460 nt
Filed under: uncultured bacterium
Lineage: Bacteria
Description: partial 16S ribosomal RNA
Rfam family: Bacterial small subunit ribosomal RNA
Source: RNAcentral
CCUACGGGAGACUGCAGUGAGGAAUAUUGGUCAAUGGACGGAAGUCUGAACCAGCCAUGCCGCGUGCAGGAAUACGGCUCUAUGAGUUGUAAACUGCUUUUGUCCAAGGGUAAACCUGAAUACGUGUAUUCAGCUGACAGUACUGUGCGAAUAAGGAUCGGCUAACUCCGUUCCAGCAGACGCGGUAAUACUGAGGAUCCAAGCGUUAUCCGGAUGUAUUGGGUUUAAAGUGUGCGUAGGCGGAUUGAUAAGUUAGAGGUGAAAUGUUCGAGCUUAACUCGGGAACUGCCGCUAAUACUGUUGAUCUAGAGAGUAGAUGCGGUAGGCGGAAUGUAUGGUGUAGCGGUGAGAUGCUUAGAGAUCAUACAGAACACCGAUUGCGAAGGCAGCUUACCAAUCUAUAUCUGACGUUGAGGCACGAAAGCGUGGGGAGCAAACAGGAUUAGAUACCCUUGUAGUC